RNAcentral lists this ribosomal RNA (646 nucleotides) under Flavobacterium sp. RNAcentral's name for it is "bacterial SSU rRNA". It matches the Rfam family "Bacterial small subunit ribosomal RNA", at positions 91 to 735 of the family's 1533-position model. Lineage: Bacteria; Pseudomonadati; Bacteroidota; Flavobacteriia; Flavobacteriales; Flavobacteriaceae. The record is from RNAcentral.
GAGACCGGCGCACGGGUGCGUAACGCGUAUGCAAUCUACCUUUUACAGAGGGAUAGCCCAGAGAAAUUUGGAUUAAUACCUCAUAGUAUAGCAGUUUCGCAUGAAACCACUAUUAAAGUCACAACGGUAAAAGAUGAGCAUGCGUCCCAUUAGCUAGUUGGUAAGGUAACGGCUUACCAAGGCUACGAUGGGUAGGGGUCCUGAGAGGGAGAUCCCCCACACUGGUACUGAGACACGGACCAGACUCCUACGGGAGGCAGCAGUGAGGAAUAUUGGACAAUGGGCGCAAGCCUGAUCCAGCCAUGCCGCGUGCAGGAUGACGGUCCUAUGGAUUGUAAACUGCUUUUAUACAGGAAGAAACCCUGGUUCGUGAACCAGCUUGACGGUACUGUAAGAAUAAGGAUCGGCUAACUCCGUGCCAGCAGCCGCGGUAAUACGGAGGAUCCAAGCGUUAUCCGGAAUCAUUGGGUUUAAAGGGUCCGUAGGCGGUUUAAUAAGUCAGUGGUGAAAGCCCAUCGCUCAACGGUGGAACGGCCAUUGAUACUGUUAAACUUGAAUUAUUAGGAAGUAACUAGAAUAUGUAGUGUAGCGGUGAAAUGCUUAGAGAUUACAUGGAAUACCAAUUGCGAAGGCAGGUUACUACUAA